AUACGGAGGGUGCAAGCGUUAUUCGGAAUUACUGGGCGUAAAGCGCGCGUAGGCGGAUGAUUAAGUCAGUUGUGAAAGCCCUGGGCUCAACCUAGGAACUGCAUCUGAUACUGGUCGUCUAGAGUUUAAGAGAGGGAAGUGGAAUUCCAGGUGUAGCAGUGAAAUGCGUAGAUAUCUGGAGGAACAUCAGUGGCGAAGGCGACUUCCUGGCUUAAAACUGACGCUGAGGUGCGAAAGCGUGGGUAGCGAACGGGAUUAGAAACCCUAGUAGUCC
Molecule: ribosomal RNA, 274 nt
Filed under: uncultured bacterium
Lineage: Bacteria
Description: partial 16S ribosomal RNA
Rfam family: Bacterial small subunit ribosomal RNA
Source: RNAcentral